ACAUUAUCUGGCACCACAGUU
Molecule: unclassified non-coding RNA, 21 nt
Filed under: Mus musculus (house mouse)
Lineage: Eukaryota; Metazoa; Chordata; Mammalia; Rodentia; Muridae
Description: oocyte_clustered_small_RNA12323
Source: RNAcentral